GAUUUAACUGGAGAGUUUGAUCCUGGCUCAGAACGAACGCUGGCGGUAUGCCUAACACAUGCAAGUCGA
Molecule: ribosomal RNA, 69 nt
Filed under: Deltaproteobacteria bacterium
Lineage: Bacteria; Pseudomonadati; Myxococcota; Myxococcia
Description: partial 16S ribosomal RNA
Rfam family: Bacterial small subunit ribosomal RNA
Source: RNAcentral